GUAAUAUGACAUGGAUGAGAAAUAAUUUACAGGUUCCAUCUCCCUUAAAUCUCACAACUAUAAAGUCUGUGUCGUCCGGUGAAGAGGUUUGAUACAUUUCUAAGAUUAAAUUACCAAAAGAGAAAGAUUACACAUGUUUGAGUGAUGCAAAUCCUGUGCUCUAGGCAAGCAUUUCAUGCAUAACUUACUGCACGGGCUGCGGCUGACUUGUAACAUCAGUUCCGUUUCUGCUCCCAGCCAUUCCUGCCCCGUUAGUGGUUGCCGAGUCACUGAAAGGAAGUUGAGGAUCAGGACCAGAUGUAGUUGAAGAUGGUAUAUGUAACGGGUGUUGGAGUUUGAAUGAAAUUUCAACUCAAAUGUGGGGUAUUGUUGGAAAUUUGAGUAGUUUGAGUAGAAAUUUCUUUGUCUCACAUUGGCCAUUUCCAAAAGAUUUUAUCACUUUAUAAGGCUUUGUCUUUUAUAGAAAGUGAUUGGAAUAAUAGGUCUGGAGACUAAAAUUGGGCUCACCCUUGGAGUUGGGCUUUGGGAUUUACUAAUUAAUUGGUAAUUAAUUAUAAUUAAUAUAUAUUUUUUUCUGUGUUUUAAAUGCCAUGCAGAUGAAUGUAUAUAUAGUGUGAUUAUACCUGUUCGCAACAUGUAUGAGGAAGGGAUGCAUCUGUUGGGAGACAUCAUAAACAUCAUUUCUGAGAGAACCACAUUAAUAUUCGCCAGAAGUCAAUUUUCCGGUGCUGAAAUUUCUGACUUAGAUCGUUGAAUCCUGAUGAAGCAGACGUCCGUAGAACUACAAGCACUGAAUAGGGGCGAAAUUUUUGUUUCAAGGACAUUGCGGUACGCAAGCCUCGAUCUUUUGUUACUCUGCUUAAUUAAUAUUUCAUCUUGUUGAGUCUCUGGAAUAUAUUUAUUCGUAUUUAUUAUUAGCAUAUUUAUUUUAUUGCGGAUUGUUGACAUAUAUCCAACAACCGGUGGUCAAAUUUACAAGCUGGCCCAAAUUUGCAAAUGCCAUAGCGACUGUGAUGUGUGCAAAUGUUCUGAUCCUGGAUUUUGAAACAAAUUUUGUGUGGUCAAUGGCGUGCAAUCAUGUAAUAUGCGAUCAAACUGAGGCUCUCAUAGAGCGGGAACAAUUGUCCUCACAUAGUAUUUCAUUUGUUUUACCUUAAUGUAUCACAAAGUGAAAACCUUUCGAAGAUCGUAUUUCCGAAAUUAUGAACUCGUAAUAAAGGGCAUGCUCAAAGAAGGGUGAACUUACCGGUCUCAAAGGCAGGCCCUUGUCACUGAGUGCGAUUGGGGCGGCUACUGCAGUGCAGUAUGACUUGUUGGAUGGUGAUAUUUGCAAUUAGAUUUAAACUUGCAAUCCCCCGUUCUUAAGAAAUAAGGUACCGUCUGGUACGCAAACGGGACGGAACGGGAUGGAAUGUGUGAAAUUCCAUCCUUAAUUUGUCGUAUAUUAUAUUAUCGAACAUAUGAUUACCAAAUUGUCCUUGAGGCAUGAACGUUGACUUUCGUUGACCGUCUCGUCGUGACGCGUAUUACUAAUUUUCUUAAUUUAUUCUUAUCGUACUCAUCGAUACGAACGCGUAGGCGCGAACGGAUUUGAAUUUGAAGUUAUAACGAAUAUUUUACAUUACGAAACGUCGAACGUUUUUCGAAUAUUUUGUGUUUCGUCUUUAGUGACCUUGUUUUGUGAGCCAUAGGGACCACAUGUUUUCUUCAUUUUUCCUCGUAACCCCUCUCUUCUCUCUUCCAUCUAUUAUUUUCUGAACACUCACUCUCUCCCUCUCUACACUCUUGGCCAUCUCUCAAACCAACCCUCCUAGAGGGGUUUCACUCAAACAAAUCACACAACAACAACCUUGGUACCACCACCAUCACUCCUAUGAACUCAGAAUUGAAAGAGGACCCUCCAAACUCGCUGCACAGCGUUCACCACUGUUCACUGAGUUUUUCGACGAGUUUCCACCUUUUUUGACGAAGGUAAGCCUCAAAACUUGUCCAAAAGUUGUAGAUCGUGUCUUGGUGUAUGUUUACAGGUAGUUUUGAGAAGUUUCGGUGAUGUUUGGACGUAGGAAUCUCAUGGGGAAAACUUCCAUAGUUUUCCCGGUGAAGACAGCCACUUUCGAGCCAUUUUCCGGCCGAACCACGACGAGUUAGUCAUCAAGAAAGGUACCAUUCUCUUCCUCUCAUCGAGAAGUAUGAUUUUCGUUUUUGAAUCACUCAAUGACGUUGAGUAUUGAAGAAGUUAUGAAUGUUUAAAGUUUACCUAGUUUACGGCGAGUUCUCCGGUUUUCCCACGGACCGGUCACACUUCAAGCCAUUUUCCGGCUAUUUUCGGCAACCAUUGGGCUUCCAAAUAGGUAUAAUCUUGUUCGACACUUUCCUAUCUUCAUUUUAUAUAUUAUGGGUCGAAUUUGGUUAAGAAACACGUGAGUUGAGAAGCUUUGAAAAUUACCCAACUUCCAGCCAAAAAUCCCAAUUUCUAGUAUAAGCUCCGACGGCUCGGCUCGGCUCAGCUUCAGCUGACUUCUCAAUCAGUGUCGACCAUUGACUGUCAACAUUGACUUUUGGGUUGACAUUUUUUGGUUUCGGCUGGGACCCCUCCUAGACUAAUUUCGACGUCCUAAUUCCAAAUAUGCGCUUCUUUUUUCCAAAUUCAAUCAUUUUAGUAGAGUUUUAUUAAUUGGUCCCUUCAUGUGCUUAGGUGCAUUUGUUAGUGGCAACCCCGUCCUCUCUAGUUAAAACGGCUCUUCGGCGAUAGAGUAUCUGUUAGUUGACCCCUUCCAAAAUGCAUGAUUUUAUUACUAGAGAUGCAUACAUGAAAAACAUGAUUUUAUGGCUACAUUUUAUGAAACGUUUAUGAGUAAAUUGGAUUUACGCUUUGUGAAAUAUCAUGCUUUAUCAAAUUUAUGUUUACUGAGAUAUUUAUGAAUAUGAUUUAUUGAUAUGAUGUUUGAGCUAUUGAGCUCCGAUGAGAUAUAUUUUGGAAAGAUUAUGUUCAUGAUUUUAUGUGCUUACUUAGUGAAUGAUACUUAUAUAUGCCUUCGGGCCGGUGAUGAAGGGCCUUUGGGCGAAUGAUACUUAUAUAUGCCUUUCGGCGAGUAUGAAGGGCCUUCGGCCGGGCGAGUGAUACUUAUAUAUGCCUUCGGGCGGGUGAUGAGGGCCUUCGGGCAAAUGAUACUUACAUAUGCCUUCCGGCGAAUGAAAUACCACUACUAAGCACACUAUAUAUGAUAUAUGUUUUACAAAGGUUUUAUGGCAUGCUAGGGUUUUCGGAAAACCUAUUACUUAUUAUGCUAUAUGAGUUUCUAAAACUAGGGUUUAGUACGUUAAAGAAUAACUGUUUUAGUAUUACAUAUAUAUAAACUUAGUCCACUCAUGUUUUUUGUUUUGAGCCCCCUUAGGACUUAGGAACAAGGCAUACGACCCAAGCUACAAGGCAUUCCCAUAUCGGUGAAUUUGUGUCCUCUCUGCGUAGGACAUCUCUUGUAAUCGCACCUUCUGAUAUCCCUUCCACUUGUAUUUCGAAUUAGUAGUAAUACUCUGAACAUGUCAUGCAUUAUUACUUUUAAAUUGUUGGCAGUGAACUAUUAUUAUAUUUUCUAUUAAGGUUUGUACUUGAAUAUUACAUUGCGUGGUUAAGCACUAAAUUUAUAUGCAUGUUUCACAUGUUCUUGGCAUAUGCAUUCAUUAAAUGGCUUGCGUCACCCUUGAGUGUCGGCGAGCACGUGGCCAUCCCGUUGGCCUUUGGACACCGGGAUCGGAGCGUAUCAAAAUGGGACGGAACGGGACAGUUGUUCCAUUCUGCAUUUGCAGCUUCCGAGUCACAGAAAGGAAUCUGAUAAUGACGGAUGGUCAAAUCUACAGGUUGGCCCAGAACUGCAAACGCCAAAGCGGCUGUACUCUGUGCAAAUCUUCUGACCCUGGAUUGGAAACAAAUUUAGGAUGAAAGUUUAUGCAAUUGAUGGCAUGCAAUAACGAAGCACAAUAACUGAUCAAACCGAGUAUUUCAUAUAGGAGAGGCAAGAGAGGAACUGUUAGUUAAGAAUCCUUCUAUUUUGAAAGAGACAUCCAUAACUUUCAUUACAAAUUAUUUUUCGCAAGGUCAAAUGAGUCUCAGUAAUAUACAUUUUCUUGGUACAUUGCUAAUUAUCCAAGGUACACUAAAAUUUGCAAAAAGACUUCAAUUCCAAUAUUAUCCCAUCACUUAAUCAAAAUAAAAAGUUUGAAUAACAAGUGGUGGUUAGUUAUUAAUGCUGUCAAGGGUGAAAAAAUAUGCACAUUGGCAAACGGUGAACUCAUUGGCCCAAAAGAGAAUAACUUAGAACUUAAAAACCAACCUUCUGUGCUACUUGUAUCACAAAGUGAAAAACCUUUUUGAGAUCAUAAUCCAUAGUUACGAAUUCUGUAUAAAAAGAACAGUUCGAAGAAGAGUGAACUUACUGGUCUUAAAGGGAGGCCCCUGUCACUGAGUGCACAUGAGGGGGUCGCUGCAGUCUGAUUUUUUGGAUGGUGAUAUUGGCAAUUAGAUUUAUUAUCACAAUCCCCUGUUUGAGCGAAAUAGAAGCAAACAGGUUGCCCAGGUCGUUCUGGUAAUUCUUCAGCUUGCGUCUGCUGUGCAUAUUGUCCGUAGUAGUUGGUUUCAGUCACCGAGUUGUUCGUAACAUAUGGUGGAGGUGCAGGCAUGUUUCUAUGAACAUAUGGUGGAGGUGGUGGAGGUGGUGGAGGUGGAGGUGGAGGUGGAGGUGCAGGCAUGCUUGGUAGAUAUGCUGGAGCCUAAACAUGUUUUGGCCAAUACAAAAUUAGAGAGAAAAGCAUGUUUUUGAAAAUGCAAACGAGAACAGCAGUAAUUCUAUAAAUUCUACAAAAAAAAGGGGCUAUUCUUACUUAUACCCACAAACUAAUACGGAACCCAAAUAAGAAGUCUAGAUGUACCGAUGUGAAAAUGUAAGCAUAUUACCACAACUGAUGUAGACAACAAUUUGUUAUCAAUAUUCAAAUCUUCAAGAAUUUAACUUCUUUACAAAGAAUAUUAGAAUAUCACAAUAAGUCCUUAAUGUAGGACCAUAUUAUUAUUUUUAUGAGCCGAACAUGAAUAAAAAGGGCAUGAGAAGAAAAAAAAAAAAAAGAGGUCAAAACACAAAAAGAUCCGACUAUUAUCCCAAAAGAGACGGUAAUUCGCAUAUCAAAAAGUGAUGAGAGUUAUUUAAAUUUUAAACCCAAGACUUUAAUAAGGGAGUGAUGGCUAAAGUACCUGAUAACCAUUCCAUUCUGUAGUUUCAGAAUUAAUCCCUUGAGAAUUUGGCAGACCUUGUAAUGAUGCAGGCCUACCAUUACCAUACGCGGAUUGCGGGUGAGAUUCUCCAGCAGCUGUAGGAUCAGGGUGGUUAAACUUGCAGUUUAUUCCGUACUUGCAGGUCCCAGUUCGCAUAUAGUAGGAACAAUCUUUCUCCCCCUGUAAUACGUUAAAACAAUUAUUCAGCAAACAUAUGGACACAUUAAAUUGGUCCAAAAGAAUAAGAAAAUAAGCAAAGAUAAAAUCUUAAACCUUAAACAUCAUGAAUAGAUAGAAAUUCAUUCCUCAAAUUUUUACAGAUCAAAUCUAGAGCUUAUACCGGACGAAUUGGCAGGUCCGAAAAAUUAAGUUCCAGAGCUGGAGCUACAGAAGGUACCCCUAUACGUCGUCCUGGGCUGAUGUAAUACUGCAACAAGCUUAAGUGUUGUAUUAAGAUCGUGAAACUGUUACUAGGCCACCACGUAGCACAGAUUUGAAUACGAGGGUACAAAGGGAAAGAAAUGUCUUUGACAUUUAAAAACAUAAUUGUAAUCCUGUAUAAAAAGGAAAAUGUAAUUGUAAUGUAACAGCAUACAAUUGUGAAAACACAUCGACUAUAAGUUGAUCACGUUCAAGACCCUCAUCAUUCUAUAGUUAGCUACAAGAUGAAAAAGGUUUAAGCUUGUAUAUUCACUAGCGCAUUCUAACCAACUAGCUUUCAGAUAACCAUAUCGAAAAACCCCAUCGUCAAAACACAACAUAGUACUUGAAAUCAAAUAUGCGAAGUAAAACAAAACUUAAUGAUGUAAAACAUGAAAACCAAGCAAUUGCAGUAAAAACCAGAACUUCGGAUAGAUAAUAACCUUGCUUUCGGUCUGGUCUUGCUUCUCUUCCAACUCUUCCCUCUGCUUUGCCUUGUCCUUCGACACCUUCAAAUCAAUAUGAUAAAGUUCAAAACACCAAGAAACACAAAGUGAGCACCAACGACACAAUUAUUUCCUGCAUUCAUACAAGGCCAGAUGCAUUAAUGUCUCAAAUACUAAAUGCAGGCCCAAAGUCCCGAUUUGUUUCAGAUACAUUUCACCACAACGAUGCACGUGAAAGAAAAACAUCAUCUUUAACAAAUAAAUGCGGAACAAGAGAGAUAUACCUGCUUGUUUUUCCCUAUCCGAGGGUGAUUAUACUUGCAAUUCGAUCCGAACUUACAAAUGCCAGUCCUCAGAUAGUUCCAACAGUCUCCAAGCCUCAAUGGGUACUGAUCCCUUCUGCUACUCUCCUCAACAACCUCCUCCCCCACCUCACCACCAUUCUCAUUCCCUCCUCCGCUGCCACUGCUGCUACUGCUUUCGCUCUUUUCCCUCUCUCUCUCCUUCUCCUCUUCUUCUUUUUCCUCAUUUUCCUUCAAACUCAAUUUUCGAAUCCCAUCAACGAUGGAAGGAUCGAAGUUCCGAUCCUCAUCCAGGAAGGCGGGGUCGAAUUGCUGAAUCUCAUCGAGCACGGCGGGGCCGAGUGUCCCAAUCCAAUCAAGGAUUUCAACAACGGACGGCUCAGGAGACGGAACGGACGGCUCAGGAGACGGAACAGACGGGGGAUUUUGAGGAACGUCUACGCUUUCAGAAAUUUCCCAAGGGAAAGCAGGGUCCAAGUUCCGAAUCUCAUCAACGAUGGAAGGAUCGAAGUUGCGAAUCUCAACGGCGGGGUCGAAUUGCUGAAUCUCAUGGAGGAGGGCAGGGUCGCGAUUCCUAAUCCUAUUGAGCACGGCGGGGUCGAGUCUCCGAAUCCAAUCAAGGAUUUCACGCUCGAGAUCGGACGGCGCAGGUGACGGAACAGACGUCGGAUUUAGGGGAACUUCGGCGCCUUCAGAAAAUUUCGAUUUUUGUCCGGAUCUGAAGUACUUAUAAAUUACGACCAGCACUGACAGUGACACCGGUAGGAGGACACGCGCCGCUGUGAACAUAGUUUUUGUGCUGAUGGCGGCGGCGGAUGCGGCGGCGACGGUAGCUGAUAGGACUCCAGUUCACAGAGGAAGAAAUAAAAGGAAGACAGCUAAGUUAGGUAGAAAAGUUAAGGCAUUUUCAUUUCAUAAUCCGAGGAGAUACAAUUGGGGGUGCUUAUAUAUAACCCAUUAGCCAACACAAACAAAAGGCUCAAGUGCUGAGUCAUCCUCUAAUAACUACUCUCACUACAAUACAGGAUAGUAAUAAAAGGUAAAGAAGGUGGACCCGAUAAGGUUCUAACAUGGCUCUCCCCCCUUAACAAGCCUGUCCGCAGGCGUUAAACCCAGGAAAACGAGUUAAGAUAGAGUCGGCAUCCUCCCACGUAGCAUCAUGCUCCGGAAGACCUUCCCAUUUAAUGAGCCAACGGGUGAUUGCUCGAUUGUCUUGCUUGAACAUGCCACGCUGAAGUAUCUUUUCUGGGGUCCAGAUGAAGGCACCAGUCAAGGAAACUGGGGGAAGAGUUGGUGAUGCAACUGUAUAAGCACCCACAUUGGGUUUAAGUAAGGAGACAUGGAAGGUAGGAUGAAUGCGAGAGUGAGGAGGCAGGUCCAGAGUAUAUGCCACUUGACCCACGCGAGCAAGCACCUUGAACGGUCCAUAGUAGCGAGGAGCCAAUUUAGGGCAAUGCGUCUUAGACACUGAUGUCUGGCGAUAGGGUUGAAGCUUGAGAAAGACCCAAUCCCCAACUGAAAAGGUUCGCUCCGAACGAUGUUUAUUAGCCUGCUGGCGCAUCCGAUGUUGAGCGAGGUGCAGGUUCUCCCGCAAUUGCCUGAGCAGGGCAUCGCGAUCUCGAAGGGUGACAUCAACCAGAUGAACCAGAUAAGAGCCAGGAAGAUAGGAGGACACCGUUGGUGGUGGGUAGCCAUAGACUGCCUGAAAAAAGGUCAUUUGAAUGGCAGCUUGAUAGGUAGUAUUAUACCACCACUCGGCCCAAGGAAGCCACUGUAUCCAAUCAUUGGGUUUGUCCCUUACAAAACUGCGCAGAUAUUGUUCAAGGGUGCGAUUGAGCACUUCGGUUUGGCCAUCGGAUUGUGGAUGAUACGCCAAGCUCUUGCAAAGAGUGGUGUGCUGCUGUUUAAAGAAGGCAAUCCAAAAAUCACUAAUAAAGACUGGAUCCCGAUCACUCACUAUGGAAGCCGGCAUGCCAUGAAGGCGAAAGACUUCGUGAAUAAAGAUAUCAGCGAUUUUGGCCGCCGAGUAUGGGUGUUUGACCGGAAUGACGAUCCACUACCACGAAAAUAACGUUGCGCCCAUGGACCGAAGGAAGGCCUUCAAUGAAAUCCGUGGCAAUGUCGUGCCAUACGUUGGUGGGAAUGGACAGAGGUUGCAAGGGGCCUGGUGGUUUAAUCGUCUCAUACGUUGUACACUGGCAGGUGUCACAGGCAGCCACAAACUUUUUAACAUCUUUUUUUAGCCCCGGCCAAUUGAAAUUGAGUGUUAACCUCUUGUAAGUGCGUAGAAAGCCCGAGUGUCCCGCAGAUGGUGAAGAAUGAAACUCAGCAAGGAGGCGUGCUCGCCAAGGGGAAGAGGCAGCAACAAAAAACCCCCUUCUUAUAGUAUAAGAGAUCGCCGUGGAGUUUAAAUAAAGCAUGACGCUCCAGGUCCUGUUGCAAGGCCGCCAACAGUGAAGAGGCCUGAGGAUCAGUGGCAUAGUCUGCUUGUAUCGCAGCGAUACAAUCAAAAAGAGGCUGAGAUAGUCCCAUUAACCCAAGAACCUCAGGACGUCGGGAAAGAGCAUCAACAGCGGCGUUCGAAGUGCCCGGCCGAUAUUCCAGCGUAUAGUUAUAACCAAGUAACUUCAACAACCACCUUUGUUGAGUUGAAGUAGUGAUGCGCUGAUCAAGGAAAUAUUUCAAAGUCUGGUGGUCAGUAAGGAUCCGGAACUGAUGGCCUAUCAAAUAAGAACGCCAUUUUUGGACCGCAAAGACCACCGCCAACAUCUCCUUAUCAUACACCGAAAGAGCCUGGUGUUUUGGAGCUAAAGGUUUGUUAAGGAACCCAAUGGGAUGACCCUCAUGUGAUAAGACGACGCUAAUACCACUAUCAGAGGCAUCGCACUUAACCGUAAAUGGUUUGGUGAAGUCUGGAAGAGCGAGGACCGGUGUGGAAGACAAUGCCUGUUUGAGGGCCGAGAAGGCCUGAGCAACGUUGGUGGACCAUUGGAAACUGUCAGUGCGUAAUAAGUCCGUAAGUGGUCGUGCUAUUAUGCCAAAAUGAUGGACAAAUUUGCGAUAGUAGCCUGCGAGACCCAAAAACCCACGAAGGGCCCGAACAGUGGUUGGUGUCGACCAAUCUGAAAUCGCAGAAAUUUUAGAGGAAUCCACGACCACCCCUGUGACGGAUAUAAUGUGUCCCAAAUACGCAAUUGAAGGCUGGCCAAACAGACACUUCGAAUGCUUCAAUUUGAAUUGAUAAGUGCGUAAGAGCUCAAACACCUUAGCUAAAUGUGAGACAUGUUGUUCCACAGAGGCACUGAAAACCAAUAUAUCAUUAAAGAAAACUAUCACUGACUUAUGCAGCAAGGGCUUCAGAAUGGAAUUCAUUAAUGCCUGGAAGGUGGCUGGAGCAUUGGUCAGGCCGAAUGGCAUGACCGUGAACUCAUAGUGCCCCUCAUGUGUUCGGAAAGCGAUUUUAGGAAUGUCCGGUUCAUGCAUCCGUAUCUGGUGAUACCCCGAACACAAGUCGAGCUUCGAAAAUAUAACAGCACCCCGUAACUCGGCCAAUAAUUCAUCAAUAAUAGGGACUGGAAAACGGUCUUUGAUAGUGACAGAAUUCAAAACCCGAUAGUCCACACAAAACCUCCAUGUAUUAUCCUCUUUGGCCACUAAGAGCGUCGGUGAAGAAAAUGGGCUGUGACUGGGCUUGAUAAUACCCGUAGCUAACAUUUCCUCCACCUGCUGUUCAAGUUCAGCUUUUUGAGCAUGUCCAUAAUGAUAGGGUCUCAUAUUCACGGGGCCAGUUCCCGGAAGCAGAGAAAUCCGGUGAUCAAUGAGCCGGUGAUGGGGUAGGGUAGUGGAGGCUUAAAAAAUGUCAGAAUACUGGAGUAGUAAGGCUUGAAGGAUGUCGGGUAGUGGUGCUGGAUGAUAUAACCCUGUUGGUAAAUUGGAGAUCUGCGCCAUAAUAUGGAAAGGGUUCCUAAGGGAAGGAUCCAAGGAAGACAAUGGAGGUAUGGCCCCGGCUGAAUGGGCUGAAGAACCUACUAGACGAUAAUUGGUGCCCUGCACAGUGAACUCUAUGACUUUCAGAAGGAAGCCAAUAAGGCCCAAUGUUUCCAACCAAUCCACUCCAAAAACCAUGUCACACCCGACUACUGCCAGAAGGUGGAAGUCAGCACGGAAGUCAUACCCCCGAAGGUGAACAGAGACAUUGCGAGCCAUACCCUUUGUGCGAAAGUAGCGGCCCGUGGCCACCAUCACGGCCUCAUUGGAAGUUGAAUCAAUUGGAAGACCUAAACGGGCAGCGACCUGAGGAUUAAGAAAACUCUGGUCAGCCCCAGAAUCGAUGAACACUUGAAUCCGAGUAUGGUGGAGGACGCCUUCCAAAUGCAUAGCUCGUCCCCGGGAACGCUUUGUAGCCGAGAUGGCAUUGAGAGCAAUAGGUGGCGCCGGUUGGUCCCCUAUGGAAGGGUCAAGUGGGUUGGAGGUCUUGGGUUUCGACUGGAAGUCAGAGAAAUCCUCAUCCGCCAAAAGCAUGAGGAUGUGGGAUUGCCGACAACGAUGACCCGGCCAAUACUGCUCAUCACAAUUAAAACAGAGCCCAUGUUCCCUCCGUGCGCGCAUUUCGGCUUGGGCGAGGCGUAAUAUGGGCUUAGGGGGAAAAGUCGGUGUGGCGGCCGGUAAGGAACGGGAAGCAGGAGUGGACAUGAAGGGCACAACGGUGGAAUGAAAGAAAGGUUUAGAGGGGGUGGAGGAGGACCGAGGAAAAUGGUGUAUGGUCGUAGGACAGAAUGGAAGGACCGGCUACAAACGGGGUAGUGCGUGAGGGAGAAGGGGAAGUGCUCCAAGUGGGUAGGGGAAGGGUGGUGUGGGCAAUGGAAAAGGGCCCGCAUCCGAGCGAAACCGGAAUGGAACCAAUCAGAAUCUAGGGACUGGGUUGGGUUGUGGGUGGGUGUUUUAAAGAUCGAAUCUCCUCGAUGAGGGUCUGCUGAAAUUUACUUUGUUGAGUCUGGUGAACAUUUAGGCUGGCGAGAGACUGUUGCAGAUCCGCCAUAUGAUGCUGAAAAUCAUCUUGACGGAGGUUUAUCAGCGUCAUUGCCUCUUGGAAUCCAUGUAGUUGGGUGAGGAUUUGCUGCUGCUGAAAGUCCAGGUCAAGCUCCGCCUCGGAAACCUCGGCCACCGUCACAGAGGCCUUGCUCUUGCCCAUGGACGCCCAACUAGGCUCUGAUACCAAUUGAUAGGACUCCAAUUCACAGAGGAAGAAAUAAAAGGAAGACAGCUAAGUUAGGUAGAAAAGUUAAAGCAUAUUCAUUUCAUAAUCCGAGGAGAUACAAUUGGGGGUGCUUAUAACCCAUUAGCCAACACAAACAAAAGGCUCAAGUGCUGAGUCAUCCUCUAAUAACUACUCUCACUACAAUAAAGGAUAGUAAUAAAAGGUAAAGAAGGUGGACCCGAUAAGGUUCUAACAGUAGCUGAAACUGGGUUGCUAGGUUUUGUUGUGAACUUGCAACUAGCAACUACGUUUAUGGAUGAAACAAAUUCUCUCAUAUCUGCUUUGUCUAGAAGCUGCUUUAGGAAAAGUGAUUCUGUAUUAAUUAAUAAAACACUCGUUAACCAAAAUCAUGUGAAAUUAUCAAUUUAAUCCUUUAAUUAAAACAUAACAUAAAUAAGAAAUAUAAGACAUAAAUGUAAUUUCAUAUUACUAAAUUUUACUGUUUUUUUUUUCAAAGCCUCACCUACAUACACUCCCACAUUCUCUAUCACUCUCUUCCACUCUCUUCCACUCUCCUUCUAUUUGAAAAACCCAAAAAAAAAAAAAAAAAAAUUCUCACACUUUGUGUGCGCCCAUAUGCUAGUCUCAUAAUAACAGAAUGACUUACAUGGAUCGAAUACACUUCCAAGCAGUCGCUGGUUUAGAAAAUAUUGCUACAAUGUGACGAUACUUAAAACAAUAAUGCGUUGACAUAUAAGAUCUAUGUGUGGGCUAAGUCCUUCAUAAUAAUACUCAGAAUUUUGAUUCCUUCUUAUUCAUCUCUUGAUUAAUUUGAUCAAUCAUUCCAAUUCCUUCUUAUUCAUCUCCUGAUUAAUUUGAUCAAUCAUUCCAAUUUCGAAUUAGUAACCGCGUCGUAAAAAUAUUUUUAACUCUCAAACAAAAUUUCCCAGUUAUUUCAGGCUGAGUCAACUCUCUUUACUCUCCAUUUUGGUUGUCCUAGGGUUUUUUUUUUUUUUUGGGUCAAAGGUUGUCCUAGGUUCACUCGUAUGACCUAGGUUUGCUAGUCCUAGGUUCUCCAUCACCUUCACAGCUCCACUCAGAUGCCGUGACCUACAAACAUGCUAUUUUGUAAUAUGGGUUUGUCUUUUAGCUUGGUGUUGUAUAUGCAAAUAUAACCAGUGUUACAUGCAAGAUAGACAAUGCACGUAACGUCGCCGCAAGUCCGAUACAUAACAGAAGAUCCCGGCACAUGUUUUAUCGAUCGAGAUCAACAACCGAAUCAUUUGCGAUACUCGGGAUAGGCAGCGACAACGAAAUUGAAAGGAUAUUCUCGACUAAAGUACUUUCCGGUUAUAUGACAUGGAUGAGAAAUAAUUUACAGGUUCCAUUUCCCUUAAAAUCUCACAACUAUAAUGUUUGUGUCGUCCGGUGAAGAGGUUUGAUACAUUUUUAAGAUUGAAUUACCAAAAGUGAGAUUACACAUGUUUGAGUGAUGCAAAUCCUGUGCUCUAGGCAAGCAUUUCAUGCAUAACUUACUGCACGGGCUGCGGCUGACCUGUAACAUCAGUUCUGUUUCUGCUCCCAGCCAUUCCUGCCCCGUUAGUAGUUGCCGAAUCGCUGAAAGGAAGUUGAUGAUCAGGACCAGAUGACGGGUGGUCAAAUUUACAAGCUGGCCCAAAUUUGCAAAUGCCAUAGUGACUGUAAUGUGUGCAAAUGUUCUGAUCCUGGAUUUUGAAACAAAUUUUGUGUAAUCAAUGGCGUGCAAUCAUGUAAUAUGCGAUCAAACUGAGGCUCUUAGAACAGAGGGAAGAGAACAAUUAGUUAAUAAUAUUUAUGAUUCGGGAACAAUUGUCCUCGCAUAGUAUUUCAUUUGUUUUACCUUCAUGUACCACAAAGUGAAAACCUUUCUAGGAUCAUAUUUCGAAAUUAUGAACUCGUUAUAAAAGGCAUGGUCAGAGUAGGGUGAACUUACCGGUCUCAAAGGCAGGCCCUCGUCACUGAGUGCGAUUGGGGGGCCUACUGCGGUGAGUUUUUGGAUGGUGAUAUUUGCACUUAGAUUUAAACUUGCAAACACCCUUUCUUAAGAAAUAACUGCAUAAGGGUUGGCCAGGUCGUUCUGGGAACUCUUCAACUUGAUUCUGGUGUGGAUGUUGCCUGUAGACGUUGGUUUCAGCCACUGAGUUGUUCAUCAUGUAUGGCGGACGCGCAGGCAUGCUUCUUUCGGGUGCAUAUGCGGAAGCCUAAAAGUUCACAACGAAACACAAUAGGGAUGCCAAUUAACAAUAGAGACCUCACAAACUGAUAAGGAUGCCAAUUGACGAGUUGUGAAUGCAGAGAUAUGAACUAAAAAAAUUACUAUAACUGUUGCAGACAGCAAUUUGUCAAACUAUUGGGAACUUUAAGUCCUGGUUAUAUAUAAAAAUUCAUAGCAAAUGUGGUCGAGCAAAUUAUUAAUUUAUGAGCCAGAAAUGAAUAAAAAGAGAAUGGCUGAAAAGUAUAAGAAAGUUAAACAUACAAAAUGAUCGUGAUCUCUUAUCCCUGAUAAAGUAUUAACUGGUAUAUCAAAGUGAUCACAGUUAUUCAAACACGAGACUCUGAGAUGGGAAAGUUAAAUAAAAGAACCUGAUAACCAUUCCAUUCUGAAUUUUGAGAAGAAACUACUUGAGGUGGUGGAAUCAUCAGUGUCGAGUAAACCGGAUCCUCAUUCAAUGGCCUUGGUGCAGACCAUGGUGCCACUGUUGAUUGUGAUGCACCUUGUAAAGAUGCAGGACCACCAUUACCAUAUCCAGAUGGGGGAUCAGAUCCUCCUGUAGCUGUCGGAUCAGGGUGGUUAAACCUGCAGUUCGAUGCAUACUUGCAGGAGCCAUUUUGCAUAUAGUACGGACACUCCCUUUUACCCUGUAACAAUUAAAAAUAAAUAUUCGCAGUAACUGACAGAAACAUAAUAAAUAGGUCCAACAAACCAAGAAAAUAAGCAAAGAUAAAAUCUUAAAAAUCAUGAAUAGAUAUUCAUUUCUCAAAACUUAGCAAGUUAGAUAUAAAGUGUAUACCGGUCGAAUUGGCAGGCCCAGAAAGUUAAGCUCAAGCUUCCCUUUGCUGUGGCUGUAUCUGCAAUUUUCCCCAUGCUUACAUCCACCCGACCUCAAGUAAUACUGCAACAAGCUCAAGUGUUAUCUCAUCAUGAAACUGUUACUAGUCUGCCGUACACAUUGCAGAUAUUUGGAUAUAAGGCACAAAGAGAAGAAUUGUUACUGACAUCCGAAAGCAUAAUUGGAAUUACUGUAUAAAGGAAUACAAGAAUGUCAUGAAAAAAGCAUACAAUUUCAUGAAAACCCAUCCGGUGGAGAUUGUCUAACUACUCAUCAACUUGCUAUAAUUUAAUCAAACGGAUGAAAUGCCUCCCCAUACAACAUAAACAAAUAAAGUUCAAAAUCUCAGGAUUAUGCACUAGCCACAAGAUAAAAGUUUUUAGCUUUUUGUUUCGGUUAUGCAUGCCAACCUAAUUUUCAGAUAAGCGGACUCAGAAAACCCCACCAUCAUAACAAUGACCGCUAGGAUACCAAAUACAUAAACUAAAACAAAAUAUAACGAUUUGUGAGACGUUGAUCAAAUAACUGCACUAAAAACCAGAACUUCAAAUAUAAAAUUUCUGUGAAUCACAACAAUAAUAACCUUGCAUUCCGUCUGGCUUGGAUUCUCUGCCGACUCGUCCAUAUCCUUGACGCUUUCCUUGGGCACCUUCAAUAAGAACAAGUCAAAACACCAACAAAAAUGAAAGAUGAGGCCACGAAAACACGAAAAGUCUCAAUCUUUCUACCAUAAACAUACAUAUGCAGAUGCUAAGAGCAACUCCAGCCCCCAACACUCUAAGCUGGGCAACAGCCCAUUUUUUCCCCUCCCUCCCCAAAAACCCAGUCCACCCCAAUCAAUCCGCUGGGCUCCGGGGAAGGCCAGCAAGCUGCCCAGCAGAAAAUCGGCUGACUCAAUACCCGGCCUACUUGACGCCAUGCUCACGUCAUCGAUUUUUUAUUUUCUCCCGACGGAUUUCUCCCUCCCCUGCGACGACCAUCGGGAAACCUGGAGAAGGUUUGGCGAACCCAGCCUUCGAGGGAGGUCGAGCCUUCGCCGUCGCCGUCGAGAACCCAGCAUCCACAUCGUGCUGCUCGCCUCCACAUCCCCAAAUCCCAGCCUUCGAGGGGAAAAUUGUGGAAAUUCCAGGAACAAAGAAGAAGAAAUGGAUCGGAGGACUGCUCCUUGGAAGGGAUCGGGAAAAGGUGGGAGACUGGGAGAGUUUCCAGGAAGAACGAAGAAGAAGAAAGAAGAAAUAGGAAAAUAAAAAAUAAAAUUAACAAUAACAUAUUUUUAUUUUUAUUAAUUUUUAAUUAUCAAUUACCAGAACAAUUAUUUUACGAGGCAGAGAUAUACUCUAUUGAUUACUAUUUAUUACAGUCAAUUAUUCUUCAUUUGAGUAGAUUAAAUUUACUAUUGCCUAGCAAGAUUUUUAGGAUGGACUUGCUUUAAAAAGAAUAUGCGCAUUAAAUUGUCAAUAUAAUAAUUAAAAACAAAAUUAAAAUAAUAAAAUUAAGCAUGUUGUAACUAAUUUUUUUCCGUAUUUACGAAAAGAAUUAAUUUUAUUUGUUCAAAAAAAAGAGUUUAAAUUUUUUAAGAUGCCUCAUAUUAAUUAAAUUUCUGACUUGGUUGCUACGGAAAUGCUAAAUGCGGAACAAGAGAGAUUUACCUGCUUGUUUUUCCUUCUCCGAGGGUGAUUAUUCUUGCGAUUCGACCCGAACUUACAAUUGCCAGUCUUCAGAUCGUACCGACAGUCCCCACCUUCCGGCCUCAAUGGGUACUGAUUCCUUCUGCUACUCUCCCCAACAACCUCCUCCUCCACCCCACCGCCAUUCUCAUUCCCUCCUCCGCUGCCGCAGACGCUGCUGCUGCUUUCGCUCUUUUCCCUCUCUCUCUCCUUCUCAUUUUCCUUUUCCUUUUCAGUCUCUCUCUCCUUCUCCUCCUCUUCUGCUUUAUCCUCCUUUUCCUUCAAACUCAAUUUCCGAAUCCCAUCAACGAUGGAAGGAUCGAAGCUCCGAUCCUCAUCGAGGAAGGCGGGGUCGAAUUGCUGAAUCUCAUCGAGCACGGCGGGGCCGAGUGUCCCAAUCCAAUCAAGGAUUUCAACAACGGACGGCUCAGGAGACGGAACAGACGGGGGAUUUUGAGCAACGCCUACGCUUUCAGAAAAUUCCGAAGGGAUAGCAGGGUCCAAGUUCCGAAUCUCAUCAACGAUGGAAGGAUCGAAGUUGCGAAUCUCAACGGCGGGGUCGAAUUGCUGAAUCUCAUGGAGGAGGGCAGGGUCGCGAUUCCUAAUCCUAUUGAGCAAGGCGGGGUCGAGUGUGUCGAGUGUCCGAAUCCAAUGAAGGAUUUCAUGGUAGCGAUCGGAUGGCGCAGGAGACGGAACAGACGUCGGAUUUAGCGGAACUCCGACGCCUUCAGAAAAUUCCGAUUUCUGUCUGGAUUUAUAGUAAUUAUAAAUUGCGACCAGCACUGACAGUGACAACGGUAGGAGGAAACGCGCCGCUGACAACAUAGUUUUUGUGCUGAUGGCGGCGGCGGAUGCGGCGGCGACGGUAGCUGAAACUGGGUUGCUAGGUUUUGCUGUGAAUUUGCAACUAGCAACUACAUUAUGGAGGAAACAAACUCUCUCAUAUGAUAAAAAUAUAUUUUGACUGGCCAAGUCAAAGUCUGCUUUUUUCAGAGGCAUGUUUGGAUUGUUUUUAAAUUCCAAAGCUGCUUAUUUUCCAAAAAAAAACAUAAAACUGCUUUAGGAAAAGUGACUUAGAUGUGAAGACUAAUUAGCAACAUAGAGAGUAUCUCAAUCUCUUGCUAUCUAUCCUUCCAUCAAUGUGGGACUCAUUCUCAACAUACCCCUUCACGUGUGGUAAAUUUUCAAACCUAGCCCAAUCAUGUGAGACACAUUCUCAACAUGCCCUCCCAUGUGAUGAAUUUUCAAACCUAAUACGUGAAUAACACAACGGGAUGACGUGAAACGCGUGUGGCUAUUUGACUUCACAUGUGGGACAACAUGUUCUGAUACCAUGAAAAAAUCCCGGCACAGGUUUUAUCGACAAUGCACGUAACGUCGCCGCAAGUUCGAUACAUAACAGAAGAUCCCGGCACAGGUUCUAUCGAGCGAGAUCCACAACCGAACCAUUUGCGGUACUCGGGAUAGGCAGCGACAUCGAAAUUGAAAGGUUAUUCUCGGCUUCAGUGUUUUCCAGUAAUAUGACAUAGAUGAGAAAUAAUUUACAGGUUCCAUUUCCUUUAAAAUCUCACAACUAUAAAGUCUGUGUCGUCCGGUGAAGAGGUUUGAUACAUUUCUAAGAUUAAAUUACCAAAAGAGAAAGAUUACACAUGUUUGAGUGAUGCAAAUCCUGUGCUCUAGGCAAGCAUUUCAUGCAUAACUUACUGCACGGGCUGCGGCUGACUUGUAACAUCAGUUCCGUUUCUGCUCCCAGCCAUUCCUGCCCCGUUAGUAGUUGCCAAAUCACUGAAAGGAAGUUGAUGAUGAGGACCAGAUGUAGUUGAAGAUGAUAUAUGUAACGGGUGGUCAAAUUUACAAGCUGGCCCAAAUUUGCAAAGGCCAUAGCGACUGUAAUGUGUGCAAAUGCUCUGAUCCUGGAUUUUGAAACAAAUUGUGUGAUCAAUGGCGUGCAAUCAUGUAAUAUGCGAUCAAACUGUGGCUCUUAGAACAGAGGGAAGAGAACAAUUAGUUAAUAAUAUUUAUGAUUCGGGAACAAUUGUCCUCGCAUAGUAAUUCAUUUGUUUUAACUUCACGUAUCACAAAGUGAAAACCUUUCUAAGAUCAUAUUUCGAAAUUAUGAACUUGUUAUAAAUGGCAUAGGGUGAACUUAC
RNAcentral lists this long non-coding RNA (18537 nucleotides) under Malus domestica (apple). RNAcentral describes it as "long non-coding RNA (MDOM_LNC014231)". Lineage: Eukaryota; Viridiplantae; Streptophyta; Magnoliopsida; Rosales; Rosaceae. The record is from RNAcentral.